RNAcentral lists this transfer RNA (66 nucleotides) under Teredothyra matocotana. Its description in RNAcentral is "tRNA-Leu". The record is from RNAcentral. Lineage: Eukaryota; Metazoa; Mollusca; Bivalvia; Myida; Teredinidae.
GUCGAAUUAGCAGAAUUAAAAUGUGUGCGGUUUAGGGUCGUGAGGUAUGGUUGACCAUAUUCGGUA